UGACCCGUCUUGAAACACGGACCAAGGAGUUUAUCGUGUGCGCAAGUCAUUGGGUGUUGAAAACUCAAAGGCGCAAUGAAAGUAAAGAAUCCGCAAGGAUACGACGUGUGAUCUGAGCAAUCACGAUUGCCUGGAGCAACAUGGCCCCAUUCUGGUCGCUUGCGACGGGGUGGAGGAAGAGCGUACGCGGUGAGACCCGAAAGAUGGUGAACUAUUCCUGAGCAGGAUGAAGCCAGAGGAAACUCUGGUGGAAGUCCGAAGCGAUUCUGACGUGCAAAUCGAUCGUCUGACUUGGGUAUAGGGGCGAAAGACU
This 313-nucleotide ribosomal RNA is filed under the name Pratylenchus penetrans. RNAcentral describes it as "partial large subunit ribosomal RNA". It matches the Rfam family "Eukaryotic large subunit ribosomal RNA", at positions 645 to 932 of the family's 3401-position model. The record is from RNAcentral. Lineage: Eukaryota; Metazoa; Nematoda; Chromadorea; Rhabditida; Pratylenchidae.